Molecule: long non-coding RNA, 609 nt
Organism: Anarrhichthys ocellatus (wolf-eel)
Lineage: Eukaryota; Metazoa; Chordata; Actinopteri; Perciformes; Anarhichadidae
Exons: 2
Source: RefSeq, a predicted model, not a curated record
CGGGUGCAAGAGCGCGGUCUGUUUACUGUAACAGUUGUUAUACUGCAGUUUCAGGAAGUAAAGUGUUCCGUUCAAAACCAGACGUGUCUUGGUUGUCAAUUAGAAGCUCCACUUCACAACAUUUUGGUGCCGAAACCCGGGAAGUCAUGACUGUGAGACUUUAAACUUUAUUGAACACGUCCUGUUAUUAUUAAUAAGAGUGUAGCCGGCAAUGAAAUGUCCCUCCUGGGCUACUGUGGAGCUGGGUAGGCAUUAGCCCCUCCUACUUCCUGGUUCCCAAUUUGUUUGUUCCACCAUAAAUAGCCAUACCAUGAGCUGCGUCUUUCCCUCUCUCUGACCUCCAGGCUCUCGGUCCAGCUCCAAAGAGACUUCCACUUCCCCGUCAAGCCCUCCAGAUGGAUGUUGUGCAGUGAGCAGGCAGGAGACGUUGACUGCCACUGCUAUUUUGUUUAACUUAUCAAUUUAGUUGUAUUCAUGGUUACAUGAAUACAAUGUUUUGCUUGGUUUUGCCUCUAUUAUAACCUGUGCCAGGUAUAUUAGAUAUAUACAUUUUUAUUGUCUUUUAACAUAUUAAAUUGUUGUUUGUUGUAAUAAAUGUUUUAAUCUUGG